Molecule: ribosomal RNA, 429 nt
Filed under: bacterium
Lineage: Bacteria
Description: partial 16S ribosomal RNA
Rfam family: Bacterial small subunit ribosomal RNA
Source: RNAcentral
UUGGGAAUCUUCGGCAAUGGGGGCAACCCUGACCGAGCAACGCCGCGUGAGUGAAGAAGGUUUUCGGAUCGUAAAGCUCUGUUGUAAGAGAAGAACGUGUGUGAGAGUGGAAAGUUCACACAGUGACGGUAACUUACCAGAAAGGGACGGCUAACUACGUGCCAGCAGCCGCGGUAAUACGUAGGUCCCGAGCGUUGUCCGGCUUGAUUGGGCGUAAAGUGAGCGCAGGCGGUUCAAUAAGUCUGAAGUUAAAGGCAGUGGCUUAACCAUUGUUCGCUUGGGAAACUGUGAAACUUGAGUGCAGAAGGGGAGAGCGGAAUUCCAUGUGUAGCGGUGAAAUGCGUAGAUAUAUGGAGGAACACCGGUGGCGAAAGCGGCUCUCUGGUCUGUAACUGACGCUGAGGCUCGAAAGCGUGGGGAGCAGACAGG